CUACGGGGGGCACCAGUGGGGAAUAUUGCACAAUGAGCGAAAGCUUGAUGCAGCCAUACCGCGUGUGUGAAGAAGGCCCGAGGGUUGUAAAGCACUUUCAAUUGGGAGGAAGAUAGAGUAGUUAAUACCUGCUUUAUUUGACGUUACCUUUAGAAGAAGCACCGGCUAACUCUGUGCCAGCAGCCGCGGUAAUACAGAGGGUGCAAGCGUUAUUCGGAAUUACUGGGCGUAAAGCGCGCGUAGGCGGAUUAGUAAGUCAGUUGUGAAAGCCCUGGGCUCAACCUAGGAACUGCAUCUGAUACUGCUAGUCUAGAGUUUAGUAGAAGGAAGGGGAAUUCCAGGUGUAGCAGUGAAAUGCGUAGAUAUCUGGAGGAACAUCAGUGGCGAAGGCGCCUUCCUGGACUAAAACUGACGCUGAGGUGCGAAAGCGUGGGUAGCGAACGGGAUUAGAUACCCUAGUAGUC
Molecule: ribosomal RNA, 464 nt
Filed under: uncultured bacterium
Lineage: Bacteria
Description: partial 16S ribosomal RNA
Rfam family: Bacterial small subunit ribosomal RNA
Source: RNAcentral